GACGAACGCUGGCGGCGUGCCUAAUACAUGCAAGUCGAGCGCAGGAAGCCGUCUGAACCCUUCGGGGGGACGACGGUGGAAUGAGCGGCGGACGGGUGAGUAACACGUAAAGAACCUGCCCAUAGGUCUGGGAUAACCACGAGAAAUCGGGGCUAAUACCGGAUGUGUCAUCGGACCGCAUGGUCCGCUGAUGAAAGGCGCUUCGGCGUCGCCCAUGGAUGGCUUUGCGGUGGAUUAGCUAGUUGGUGGGGUAACGGCCCACCAAGGCGACGAUGCAUAGCCGACCUGAGAGGGUGAUCGGCCACACUGGGACUGAGACACGGCCCAGACUCCUACGGGAGGCAGCAGUAGGGAAUCUUCCACAAUGGACGAAAGUCUGAUGGAGCAACGCCGCGUGAACGAUGAAGGCUUUCGGGUCGUAAAGUUCUGUUGUAAGGGAAGAACAAGUGCCGCAGGCAAUGGCGGCACCUUGACGGUACCUUGCGAGAAAGCCACGGCUAACUACGUGCCAGCAGCCGCCGUAA
This 524-nucleotide ribosomal RNA is filed under the name uncultured bacterium. RNAcentral's name for it is "partial 16S ribosomal RNA". It matches the Rfam family "Bacterial small subunit ribosomal RNA", at positions 28 to 523 of the family's 1533-position model. The record is from RNAcentral.